Molecule: transfer RNA, 72 nt
Filed under: Diaphorina citri (Asian citrus psyllid)
Lineage: Eukaryota; Metazoa; Arthropoda; Insecta; Hemiptera; Psyllidae
Rfam family: tRNA
About the family: Transfer RNA (tRNA) molecules are approximately 80 nucleotides in length.
Source: Rfam by way of RNAcentral
GCCUAGUUAGCUUAGUUGGUAGUGCGUCUGCCUUGUAAGCGCUAGGCCGCAGGUUCGAUUCCUGCCCAGGUC